CCUACGGGUGGCAGCAGUGGGGAAUAUUGCACAAUGGGGGAAACCCUGAUGCAGCGACGCCGCGUGAGCGAAGAAGUAUCUCGGUAUGUUAAGCCCUAUCAGCAGGGAAGAAAAUGACGGUACCUGAGUAAGAAGCUCCGGCUAAAUACGUGCCAGCAGCCGCGGUAACACGUAUGGAGCCAGCGUUAUCCGGAUUUACUGGGCGUAAAGGGGGCGUAGGCGGGAGGCCAAGUCUGAUGUGAAAUACCGGGGCUCAACCCCGGUGCUGCAUUGGAAACUGGCGGGCUGGAGUGCCGGAGAGGCAGGCGGAAUGCGUGGUGUAGCGGUGAAAUGCGUAGAUAUUAGGAGGAACACCGGUGGCGAAGGCAGCCUGCUGGACGGUGACUGACGCUGAGGCUCGAAAGCGUGGGGAGCGAACAGGAUUAGAUACCCGAGUAGUC
This 440-nucleotide ribosomal RNA is filed under the name uncultured bacterium. Its description in RNAcentral is "partial 16S ribosomal RNA". It matches the Rfam family "Bacterial small subunit ribosomal RNA", at positions 338 to 795 of the family's 1533-position model. The record is from RNAcentral.